Non-coding RNA from Chlorocebus sabaeus (green monkey), 435 nucleotides. The record is from RefSeq and is a predicted model, not a curated record. NCBI's taxonomy places the organism in Eukaryota, Metazoa, Chordata, Mammalia, Primates, Cercopithecidae.
UCCCGCCUCAGCCUCCAAAGUAGCCGGGACUACAGGCGCGCGCCACCACCCCUGGCUAAGAAUGCCUUCGGGUUUUGUCGUGAUGGGGACAAGUUCACUUAGGCCAGCUGACUAAGAUCAAGAGCUCAGCUGCAGUAAUUUUCUCUAGUGGAUGAUGUAAGGGAGUCAUUGGCAGAGAAGCAAGAGACUUGGCUUCAGAGUGGGCAGUAACAGGGCUGAAUCUGGUUUUACAAAGCAGGUAAUGUAAAGCUCUCAUUGCCUCUGUAAGGACAAGGCUUUGAGCCAUGAGUCCCAGGGUCCUCUAAGUGAAGGCUUCUUAAAGGAAUUGAGCCUCGUUUCCUGGAUUUGAGGUUUAUUCUUUUUCACAUUCCCUUUGUACACCAAAUAUAUUUAGUAUUUAUUAUAUUUUAAGUUUAGACCUUUGGAAUUUUUUUU